CACCGUAAUCCUAUAACAAACGACUUGAUGGAAUGCGCCAUCUGUGUGAAGACAGACAAUUGUUAAGACAGAAGAUAUUUGCAUACCAUCAUACUAGUGGUAAAGUGAACUUUAAGGG
This is a long non-coding RNA of Ictalurus punctatus (channel catfish), 118 nucleotides long. RefSeq lists it as uncharacterized. The transcript has 2 exons. The record is from RefSeq and is a predicted model, not a curated record. NCBI's taxonomy places the organism in Eukaryota, Metazoa, Chordata, Actinopteri, Siluriformes, Ictaluridae.